GAUGAACGCUAGCUACAGGCUUAACACAUGCAAGUCGAGGGGAAACGACAUCGAAAGCUUGCUUUUGAUGGGCGUCGACCGGCGCACGGGUGAGUAACGCGUAUCCAACCUGCCCAUCACUUGGGAAUAACCUUGCGAAAGUAAGACUAAUACCCAAUGACAUCCCACGAAGACAUCUGAAUGGGAUUAAAGAUUUAUCGGUGAUGGAUGGGGAUGCGUCUGAUUAGCUUGUUGGCGGGGUAACGGCCCACCAAGGCAACGAUCAGUAGGGGUUCUGAGAGGAAGGUCACCCACAUUGGAACUGAGACACGGUCCAAACUCCUACGGGAGGCAGCAGUGAGGAAUAUUGGUAAAUGGGCGAGAGCCUGAACCAGCCAAGUAGCGUGCAGGAUGACGGCACUAUGGGUUGUAAACUGAUUUUAUAAGGGAAUAAAGUGGGUCUCGUGAGACUUUUUGCAUGUACCUUAUGAAUAAGGAACGGCUAAUUCCGUG
RNAcentral lists this ribosomal RNA (492 nucleotides) under uncultured bacterium. Its description in RNAcentral is "partial 16S ribosomal RNA". It matches the Rfam family "Bacterial small subunit ribosomal RNA", at positions 28 to 507 of the family's 1533-position model. The record is from RNAcentral.